AUUGAACGCUGGCGGCAGGCCUAACACAUGCAAGUCGAACGGUAACAGGAAGCAGCUUGCUGCUUUGCUGACGAGUGGCGGACGGGUGAGUAAUGUCUGGGAAACUGCCUGAUGGAGGGGGAUAACUACUGGAAACGGUAGCUAAUACCGCAUAACGUCGCAAGACCAAAGAGGGGGACCUUCGGGCCUCUUGCCAUCGGAUGUGCCCAGAUGGGAUUAGCUAGUAGGUGGGGUAAAGGCUCACCUAGGCGACGAUCCCUAGCUGGUCUGAGAGGAUGACCAGCCGCACUGGAACUGAGACACGGUCCAGACUCCUACGGGAGGCAGCAGUGGGGAAUAUUGCACAAUGGGCGCAAGCCUGAUGCAGCCAUGCCGCGUGUAUGAAGAAGGCCUUCGGGUUGUAAAGUACUUUCAGCGGGGAGGAAGGGAGUAAAGUUAAUACCUUUGCUCAUUGACGUUACCCGCAGAAGAAGCACCG
RNAcentral lists this ribosomal RNA (478 nucleotides) under uncultured Escherichia sp. RNAcentral's name for it is "bacterial SSU rRNA". It matches the Rfam family "Bacterial small subunit ribosomal RNA", at positions 30 to 495 of the family's 1533-position model. The record is from RNAcentral. Lineage: Bacteria; Pseudomonadati; Pseudomonadota; Gammaproteobacteria; Enterobacterales; Enterobacteriaceae.